Felis catus (domestic cat) is the source of this 2358-nucleotide long non-coding RNA. RefSeq lists it as uncharacterized. The record is from RefSeq and is a predicted model, not a curated record. The transcript has 2 exons. NCBI's taxonomy places the organism in Eukaryota, Metazoa, Chordata, Mammalia, Carnivora, Felidae.
CUCAGCCUCGGAACCUAUGAAACAUCUCUCCCACCACAUUUUCUUGAUCAGAACAGGUUGAGGGCAGCCUGAGAUCAAAGGUGUUAAACUAGAUUCCAUCUUUUAGCGCAGAACUGACAAGGUCAACUUACAAAACGUAGGCACAAUGGAAGAUAUGGCACAGCCAUCUUCUGUAACAAGCGGGGAUGCUGGGAGGGGGUGAUGCAUUCGACACGUGAGAAGACGUGAGCUUUGGGGGGCAAAGUGCUGUGGGCUGAAUUGUGUUUCUCCCCAAAUUCAGAACCUUCAGUAACUCAGAAUGUGGCCUUAUUUGUGGACAGACUCAUCGCAGAUACAACUAGCUAAGAUGAGGUCACAGAGCGUAGAGCGGACUUUGUCCUUAUAAAAAGGGGAAAUUCGGACAGAGACAUGCACACAGGGAGAAUGCCGUGUUCAGAAGAAGACCGACAUCAGGGUGGAGAAGCCCACGUCAAGGGAUGCCAAAGAUCUCCAGGGAUGGUAAGAUCUCCUUACCCCGGAAGGUAAGAGGCAGGCCUGGGACAGAUUCUCCCUCCCAGCCUCAGAAGGGACCGGCCAGCUCUCACCUUGCUCUUGGACUUCGGGCAGCCAGAACUGUGGGAAUAAACUUCUAUUUAAGCCACCCAGUCUGUCACGCUUUUCCUGGCUGCCACGGAAACUGACAGAAGCGGCCACGGACCCCUUGUCGCGCACCUAUCCUGGGGCUAAUGACUCUAACAACCAAAGACCAUGCCCAGAGACCGAAACCACCGCACCAGCAGAUCGUGAAAUCGUCCCUGGAAACAACCAAUACUGGAGUCCAUUCGAUGCCAGCCCUCCGUGUUGUUCGAAUCCCUGCUCUCGAAAAAAGGAACCCACCACAUCGCAGGCCACUCCCACCCAAGACAAUAACCUGGCCUUCUAAAAAUAGUCUUCUUACUGGAAACAAAAUCCCGCCCCCCCCCCUUCAAAUUUCACUCCUCUGUAAGAUGGGAAUAAAUUCUUCACGAGAACCUACAACUUUCAUGAAAACACAAAAGUAAAUUUGGUGAGACGCAAACGAGUCAAUGGCUAAAAUAAAUAAACUCAAAAACGUGCUGUUUUAACUGGAAAUACCGUUUGCAAGAUACCUGAAUAGCUCCUAAUGAAGAUUUGUAAUUUUUUAAUGGACUGGUGUCAGAAACAAAGGCGGGCGAAGGACACGUGUCACAUCACGCGUGUUUUAUAGGAGACUUAAAUGGCCCUGCUCAUGGACCAGACCCACAAAUUUAGGAACAAACGAUGAGGCUAUUUUGAUGUCUCUCACAGAAGGCUUAUCAGCCAGUCCCUGUAAUUUCUAUUACUUUCCGUGAUUUACAUAUUCGAAUAAUAUUGUUUCAAACCUUGAAAUUCACCUGAAAACGUGCUGUUCGUCCCGACUCCUUUAAAGGGUCUAUCUUUGCUCUCCUGGCCAUGAACGCUCCCACUCAGAAGGGGCAAAGGAAAGGCUCUAUAAAGAUGUACCCAAGGGUCCCCACCACCAAUACAAAUCCCCACAAAAACCACCUGGAAAGGGAAUAAAGACAAGACGUAGGGUCUCGCAAAUUUCUUUUAUUCCAGCUGUCUAAUUUUCAUUAGUUCGGCCCAAGAUUUCAGCUAAGUGUUGUCCCUUUAUGGCCACUGCACAUUUUCAAAGCCCCGUGGAAAUAUGAUCUGAAUGAACUCUUACUGCCCUCCUUCUAAGAACAUCCUGCGCUUAAGGAUUCAGUCCUUUAAAUAUUUCCUGAAGAGCGUCACAGAGGUUUACAGCGAAGAAGUCAGAAACAGGCUUGUAAACCAGGAGGUUACUGGAAGCCGGUAUUCCCAGUGUGGCCCCUGGACCAGCAGAAGCUGGAUGCAUGAGAGGCGUCGAAUUGGAAUAAACCACUCUAGACGGCUGCAGUCAGCACCUGGGGGGGAGCCCCGCUGCCAGAGCUUCACCAGACCCCCUGCCCCCAAGACACUGAUGCACCCUGCACUGGGCCACAGGCAAACUGCAAAAGGACUUUCAAACGAAGAGGCCGGACCAGCCUUUCCCCAAAAGGCAAGAGUCAUGAAACUCACAAAAUCACAAAUGGAAUUUGCAUCGGAGCCAGCCGGCUCCAAUUGAAAUUUGCAAACCUCACGGCCAAUUUCUGGGCUUUCAAUUUAAAUUCUCAGUCUUAACUUUAUGAUAACAAAGCUUGCUGUCGUGAGACUAAUAGGAUGUCGUUAACUGCCCUCCGUGACAGUAUUUCACCCAGGCUUGAUGGGGCAAUUUGAAAACAUCAUUAAAGAGACAAGUUGCACCAAGAGGGUUGGCAAAAGUGCGAUUAUCUUUGGAGAUUAAAUCCCCAAACACUG